This 221-nucleotide long non-coding RNA is filed under the name Lathyrus oleraceus (garden pea). Its description in RNAcentral is "Pisum sativum (pea) long non-coding RNA (PSAT_LNC029122)". The record is from RNAcentral. Lineage: Eukaryota; Viridiplantae; Streptophyta; Magnoliopsida; Fabales; Fabaceae.
GUCAAAGGAGGAUUUUUAUCAAAUCAAAAUAUUCAUUCAUUUUGGGAGAUGAAAUAUAUAUUUCAUCAAUCCUCUAAAUCCAAUGAUUUUAACUCAAAAAAGUCAAAUCAACCUUGAUCAAGGCCCAACAACACAAGUCAAACUCAACAAGUCAAUAUCAAAAGCUCAACACAAUUUGUUUUAUAUUUAAACAAUUAAAAUUAAUUAAAUAAUGCAUUAAA